RNAcentral lists this ribosomal RNA (497 nucleotides) under uncultured bacterium. RNAcentral's name for it is "partial 16S ribosomal RNA". It matches the Rfam family "Bacterial small subunit ribosomal RNA", at positions 28 to 507 of the family's 1533-position model. The record is from RNAcentral.
GAUGAACGCUGGCGGCGUGCCUAAUACAUGCAAGUCGAGCGAACAGACGAGGAGCUUGCUCCUCUGACGUUAGCGGCGGACGGGUGAGUAACACGUGGAUAACCUACCUAUAAGACUGGGAUAACUUCGGGAAACCGGAGCUAAUACCGGAUAAUAUAUUGAACCGCAUGGUUCAAUAGUGAAAGACGGUUUUGCUGUCACUUAUAGAUGGAUCCGCGCCGCAUUAGCUAGUUGGUAAGGUAACGGCUUACCAAGGAAACGAUGCGUAGCCGACCUGAGAGGGUGAUCGGCCACCCUGGAACUGAGACACGGUCCAGACUCCUACGGGAGGCAGCAGUAGGGAAUCUUCCGCAAUGGGCGAAAGCCUGACGGAGCAACGCCGCGUGAGUGAUGAAGGUCUUCGGAUCGUAAAACUCUGUUAUUAGGGAAGAACAAAUGUGUAAGUAACUAUGCACGUCUUGACGGUACCUAAUCAGAAAGCCACGGCUAACUACGUG